This 904-nucleotide long non-coding RNA is filed under the name Felis catus (domestic cat). Its description in RNAcentral is "lncRNA (ENSFCAG00000052545.1)". The record is from RNAcentral. Lineage: Eukaryota; Metazoa; Chordata; Mammalia; Carnivora; Felidae.
CCAGCCACCCUCAUGUCUGGGCUUCUGGGCUUGCAUCUUCCCUCUACCUCUAUACUCCAAGUUCCUGGCUGGCACUGGAAUUACAUCCUUAGAAGGCGCAUCAUAACCUCCAGGUGAGGUGAAUAUGAUUACUCUCAUUUCUAAAAUCAACAAUCUGAAGCUCCAAAGAGAGUAGGUCAUAUUUCUGAGAUCAUAGUACUAGUAAGUGCUGUGUUUUUGAUAAUUCAUUCUAAUGGGCUCCAAAGCCCACUUUCUUUCAUCUACCACACUGUCCCCAAGAUGAACAGGGAAAAGCCAUACUUCAGCCUGAUAUAUUGUAGGCAAUGGUACGUGUAAAGCUGGUGUCACAUUUCAGAAAAUGGGGUUAAGUUUAGAAUCUGAGUAAUUAUACCCACAGUUUGAAUUUGAAUCUCACAUCCUUUUAUUUUUUACUGCUGCAAUUUCUGUUAUCUUUAAUGAUUAUCUAAAUGUAUUCUUCCCUUGGUAAAAUUUAGCCACUAAGAGUACUAAGAGAGUUUGUUUCCUUUGUAAGAGGUCAGAAUUAUACAAUGAAUUUAUAAUGUCAAGGCAAUAGCUUUUAUUUUAUCCUAAAAUAUAGAGGAAAAGGUCAUUGCCCUUGCUGUAAGAGUUUACCAUGUGUUAUUGAUAACAUGCCUGAGCUCUAUUGGUGAAAAACCGUUGUGGACUUUGAAAGUCAGUUAUUUAUAAUUAAGAGAGUAUUGUUCUCUCUUUGGGUGCAGCUGAUUGUUUAAAAUAGAACUUAGGAUUUUUCUGCAUAGAUUUUAUAUUUCAGAAUGAGCUUUGUUUUAAAAGGUAUGUUAUAUUUGCAUUCAUGCAAGUUGUGCAAUCAUUAAAUUGACAGGAAAGCAGCUGUUAAUAGUUGUCAUUUGGACAUGUAGAUGGA